Molecule: long non-coding RNA, 481 nt
Filed under: Monodelphis domestica (gray short-tailed opossum)
Lineage: Eukaryota; Metazoa; Chordata; Mammalia; Didelphimorphia; Didelphidae
Description: lncRNA (ENSMODG00000040936.1)
Source: RNAcentral
AGUGAGAUUUUUUUUGUUUUUAAGAAAUGAUUAUGAUCUAAAAACAAAAACACAUCCACAAAAAUGUUUCGCAAUCAUUGCUUUUGAAGGAUUCACUCUGGACAGAACCUUUCAAGGAUAUAACCAGUGAAAUCACUAGGCUUCAAGUGUGAUCCUUUUCAGGUCAUAAUAGGAGGGGGGUCAACAGUGGAUGAGUUUCCUCUAAAUGUGGCAAAACCUGGUUCAUAAACUUUCUGCCAUUUAUAGUCCAUGAGUUGUGGACACCUGGUUCCCUUAUCAGGCUUGGGAGAGAGUACAUCCAGAGGACAGACUGAGUACAAAACAAACAAAUAAGGACAUAGACACAGAAGGUUACAAACAAAAACUACCUUCAAGCAGAAGUGACCCUCAUCUGCAGAGAAGAAUUCCAUUUAUGAACUCAAGGAAGAACUUCAAAUAACCAGGUUGGCCAGAAAGGAAAAAUGCAGUGACAGGCUGGCUA